Molecule: long non-coding RNA, 603 nt
Organism: Myotis davidii
Lineage: Eukaryota; Metazoa; Chordata; Mammalia; Chiroptera; Vespertilionidae
Exons: 2
Source: RefSeq, a predicted model, not a curated record
GUCCUCCCACCAACCUCAGGAGACAGAUCAACCAUCCAUUCAUUCAACUAUUAAACAUCUUCGACAAGUAAGGCUGUGUAUAAGGAGCUUGGGAUGCCACAGCAAACAAAAUGCACACUCCUUACCCCCGUGGAGCUUCUAUUCCAGCAGUGGAGACAGAUUACCAGAACAUUAUUACAUUAUGAUCCUCUUAUGUGUAGAGGAGGAGUAGGACAGGGUGAUUUGAGUAGGUGACCAUGUAAUGGAUGCCUUACACAAUAUGGAGAUCAUGUCAGGAAAGCUUUUUUUUUUUUUUUAAGAAAAUCAUAUUUACAACUAGGUAUUCAGCAUGAAUAAGAAUUGGCUAAGCAAGCAGAUGAGAUGACAUGCAUAAGGACCCAAGGCAGAAAGGAACAGGUGUGCCUGGCUCCUCUUUGAUGACUCCAUCUGCAUCUUGCUGGAAUCACAGCUAUGAGGUAGCCCCCAAAUGCACACGGUGUGAGUCUCCCACCUGCUGGAAGGAGAUCUGUUGGUAAUCACCCUCCACGUGCAUCCUUGAAGGGUUCACCCACGAGGGAGCAAGUUCAUCUGCUGGGGAUCCACAGCAGGAAGGACUGGAAAGAG